RNAcentral lists this ribosomal RNA (401 nucleotides) under uncultured prokaryote. RNAcentral describes it as "bacterial SSU rRNA". It matches the Rfam family "Bacterial small subunit ribosomal RNA", at positions 355 to 774 of the family's 1533-position model. The record is from RNAcentral.
UGGGGAAUAUUGCACAAUGGGCGAAAGCCUGAUGCAGCAACGCCGCGUGAGCGAUGAAGGCCUUCGGGUCGUAAAGCUCUGUCCUCAAGGAAGAUAAUGACGGUACUUGAGGAGGAAGCCCCGGCUAACUACGUGCCAGCAGCCGCGGUAAUACGUAGGGGGCUAGCGUUAUCCGGAAUUACUGGGCGUAAAGGGUGCGUAGGUGGUUUCUUAAGUCAGAGGUGAAGGGCGACGGCUCAACCGUAGUAAGCCUUUGAAACUGAGAAACUUGAGUGCAGGAGAGGAGAGUAGAAUUCCUAGUGUAGCGGUGAAAUGCGUAGAUAUUAGGAGGAAUACCAGUUGCGAAGGCGGCUCUCUGGACUGUAACUGUCACUGAGGCACGAAAGCGUGGGGAGCAAACA